RNAcentral lists this ribosomal RNA (1320 nucleotides) under Bifidobacterium sp. RNAcentral's name for it is "partial 23S ribosomal RNA". It matches the Rfam family "Bacterial large subunit ribosomal RNA", at positions 1 to 1406 of the family's 2925-position model. The record is from RNAcentral. Lineage: Bacteria; Bacillati; Actinomycetota; Actinomycetes; Bifidobacteriales; Bifidobacteriaceae.
AGUAAAGAUUUUAAGGGCGUACGGCGGAUGCCUUGGCGAUAUCAGCCGAAGAAGGACGCGGUAAGCUGCGAUAAGCUACGGAGAGGUGCAAGCAACCUUUGACCCGUAGAUUUCCGAAUGGGGGAACCCGGCAGUGGUUAUGCACUGUCACCCAUACCUUUGAGUAUGAGGAGGGCACCUGGGGAACUGAAACAUCUAAUUACCCAGAGGAAGAGUAAUCAAACGAGAUUUUCUUAGUAGCGGCGAGCGAACGGGAAAGAGGCCAAACCGGAGCGGGCAACCGCACCGGGGUUGAGGACAGUCAUCAAGUGUGGGACUGUAUCCAGAGUACCACGAGACACGUGAAACCUUGUGGGAAGCAGGGGGGACCACCCUCCAAGCCAAAAUACUGAUAUCGACCGAUAGCGCAUAGUACCGUGAGGGAAAGGUGAAAAGAACCCCUGGCGGGGAGUGAAAGAGAACCUGAAACCGUAUGUCUACAAACAGUCGAAGUCUGUAUAUAUAUCAGGACGACGGCGUGCCUAUUGAAGAAUGAACCGACGAGUUACUGUUGCUAGCGAGGUUAAGUGGAAAACAUGGAGCCGCAGCGAAAGCGAGUCUGAACAGGGCGUUCAGUUAGUAAUAGUAGACCCGAAACCGUAGUGAUCUAUCCAUGGCCAGGUUGAAGCACAGGUAAAAUUGUGUGGAGGACCGAACUCGUGAGCGUUGAAAAGCUUUGGGAUGAGUUGUGGAUAGGGGUGAAAUGCCAAUCGAACACGGAGAUAGCUGGUUCUCCCCGAAAUAGCUUUAGGGCUAGCCUCGAGGUAGAGAGUAUAGGCGGUAGAGCACUGAUCGGGCUAGGGGCCAUACCGGUUACCGAACCUAGUCAAACUACGAAUGGCUAUACUUAUACUCGGGAGUCAGACAGUGAAUGAUAAGGUCCAUUGUCAAGAGGGAAACAGCCCAGAACACCGACUAAGGUCCCCAAUGUUACACUAAGUGGCGAAGGAUGUGGAAUUUCCAAAACAACCAGGAUGUUGGCUUAGAAGCAGCCACCAUUUAAAGAGUGCGUAAUAGCUCACUGGUCGAGAGACUCUGCGCCGAAAAUGUCCGGGGCUAAAGUGUAAAACCGAAGUCGUGUCAUAUGCAGCAAUGUAUAUGGGUAGGGGAGCGUUCUCAUCGGGCUGAAGCAGUACCGUAAGGAGUUGUGGACUGAUGAGAAGUGAGAAUGUCGGUAUGAGUAGCGAAAAGAAUGGUGAGAAUCCAUUCCACCGAAAGCCUAAGGGUUCCUGAGCAACGAUCGUCGUCUCAGGGUAAGUCGGGACCUAAGCCGAGGCGGAA